UACGGAGGGGGCUAGCGUUGUUCGGAAUUACUGGGCGUAAAGCGCGCGUAGGCGGAUUUGCAAGUCGGGGGUGAAAUCCCGAGGCUCAACCUCGGAACUGCCUUCGAUACUGCAAAUCUCGAGUCCGGAAGAGGUGAGUGGAAUUCCUAGUGUAGAGGUGAAAUUCGUAGAUAUUAGGAAGAACACCAGUGGCGAAGGCGGCUCACUGGUCCGGUACUGACGCUGAGACGCGAAAGCGUGGGGAGCCAACAGG
This 253-nucleotide ribosomal RNA is filed under the name uncultured bacterium. Its description in RNAcentral is "partial 16S ribosomal RNA". It matches the Rfam family "Bacterial small subunit ribosomal RNA", at positions 524 to 776 of the family's 1533-position model. The record is from RNAcentral.